This is an RNA transcript of Gossypium raimondii (Peruvian cotton), 1320 nucleotides long. It is a transcript of the gene named protein TRIGALACTOSYLDIACYLGLYCEROL 3, chloroplastic, with no coding region annotated. NCBI's taxonomy places the organism in Eukaryota, Viridiplantae, Streptophyta, Magnoliopsida, Malvales, Malvaceae. The record is from RefSeq and is a predicted model, not a curated record. The transcript is spliced from 3 exons.
UCCCCCCUUUUCAACUCAUAUCCUUAAUUUCUAUCUCUAAAUUGCUUUUUCAGCAAUGGUAUGAUGAACCAUUCAUUUCUUUGAGUAAAUUAUGUGGAUAAGAAAAAGUAAUUCUCUUCUAAAUUAAUAGGACACAAUAACUUUCAGCAAACAAUUGAUCAAAAAUAGAAAAACCGUCAUAGGAAAAAAAAUUGUUGAGUGGAUGAUAAGUGGAUGAAUUUAGCUAUCGGCUAAUGUGUAAGAUCCUUAUUCGGACUUAUGAUUAAAUUUUAAACCUAUGCUGAAGCAAACUCCCUGGUAGAGUCAGAAGCAUACUUCCAUCAUCAAAUUUGACCCAUAUGAAUUUUUUGGUUAAAGAGGCCCAAAUUAUUGAAAGGAAAUAUUUUCCAUUUCUUUCGUUCUGUUUCCUUCAUUGAAAAUCAAGGUUAGAUUCAUGACUCGCUCUAUUCAAAACCCCUUUACUAGUUCCUCUGGGUCUUCUCUAAAUCACUAUUUCCAGUACCCAGAACUCCAUUUUUAACUCUCUUCGCAACUUCGGCUUCAAAAUGAUGAUAUUCUAGUACUUUUUGAGGGUUUCAAAGUAAUAUUCAACCUUUUCGUUUCCUUAAAAAAAUGACGAAUACUGUUCUUUUGUCAAGUUCAUUGGGUUAUCUCCUAGUACAACAACAUUAACUACAAAUUGUGAUUUGGGUAUAAAAAGAAGCAAAUUUUGUUGUCAAAUAAAGUGGAGGAACGAGCAAAGAAAUAGUAUCCGUGCUUUUAUGGCACCUACUAGGAACUUGGGACAUGAUGGAUUCCCUGGAACUGAAUUCACUGAAUCAUCUAAAUCUGGGAAUUGGAGCAAGGAAGUGAACCAUGAAGAUGAUUCUGAUGUUCUCAUUGAAUGCCGAAACGUGUACAAAUCAUUUGGAGAAAAGCACAUCCUGCGAGGUGUGAGCUUCAAGACUUGAGAUACUUGGCUGAGUAAUUCUAUGACAGCUUGAUACUGACAAGAAUUUUGGAUCUGGGUCAAACAUGGUUGAUGGCUGGAGAUAUUGACAACUCAUUGGCUGCCUUGCUGGUAGUCUAGUAGGUGUAAUGGUCCUUGGUUAUCUAGAACCUUGUUGUCUAUUGAUCAUGGUUGGUAUGCAGUCAACGUUUGACAUGAAAAAAAUGGAAAUCUCCACUUCAAAUUUGAUGUUCUGAUAGCAUGUGUUUUCUGAUAUCAUCAAGAAGGACAGAGAGUAAAAGUGAAGAAGUGCAGGUAAUUUUGUGAUUCUAAUUUGAAGAAACUAUAUUGACUUGAAAAACAUUAAAACUAAACUGAAGAAAUUUUGAUUA